GCUGAGCACAGUUCUGACAGAGGGGAGCUGAUAUGGCCCUUUCUUGGGGAGAAGAGUCUGGGGCACCCUCUGAGAUUCUGUAUGUAUCUCCCUGAGACUUUAUCACUGUUCAGGCGGAGCCAGUGAUGAGUCCCUUUGUGGGUAUAUGCAUAAUUCUUCUCUGAGGGAACAAGAGCAAAAGGCAAAAGGACUGCAGCUCCUGUCACACAGGGCUUUUUCCACAACCAUCGAAGGCUACUCUGAUUUGCAAUUAGCAGGAUAAACUGAAGAUAACACCUUGCAGAAGCAGAUCUCAAUUAACAACUGAUGGAAAAAAGAGGAAACUGAAGAGGCCAAAAGAAAGGGAACACACAAUGAGGAAGAAGGAGAAAGUUGGACCCAUUCCAAGAAUCAUGCAAGCCAUUCUGCUGGAUGUGAAGUGGUAUCUGAUUGUUACUAGAAGGCUAUCCUUACAAGAAAUGCUAAAGGAAAUUGUUCAGACUGAAAGCAAUUGACACCAGACGGUAAUUUGAAUCCACACAGUAAAACAAUGAGCAUCAGCAGAGGUCAUUAUGUCAGUAAUUUGAACCACAGUAUAAUAUAUAUUACUACUCCUUCCUUCUCUUAGCUGAUUUAAACAGCAAUUGCAUAAAACAAUAUGUAUAUAAUUGCAUUAUUAAGCCUAUAACAUACAGAAAUGCAAUAUAUUUGACAAUAACAUCACAAGAAAGGUAGGAGGGAACAAAGCUGUAUUAUAGUACAGAAAUGACACCAGAUGGUAACUUGAAUCUACAGGAAGAAAUAAAGAGCGCCAGAAAUGAAGAAUAAGAAGAUUAACAUAAUAAACUCUCUAAAUAUAUACUUGCCCUCCUUUCUUCUCUCAGCUACUAUAAAAGACAUGAAACAUGAAAUUAUAUAAAACAAUAAUUAUAAAAAUUUAUUGUGCAGUUUGUAAUAUAUGUAAGUGCAAAAUAUGUUGUUGGAUUCUUGGUUGAGGUUUUUAUCUUUCUGCACUUUGAAUGUGUCAUCUAGCUGCUUUCUAGCCUCCAUUCUUUCUGAUAAGGAAUCAGAUGUUAAUCUUACUGGGGUUACAUUGUACAUGAUGCGUUGCUCUUCUCUUGCUGCUUUCAAGAUUUUCUCUUCAUUCUUGGUUUUCAACAUUUUGAUUAUAAUGUCUCAAGGUCUAGACCUUUUUGCAAUAUCCUACUUGAGUUCAACAAGCUUCUUGGAUAUGUAGAUUAAUGUGUUGUUUUGUUCUUUUGUUUGGGUUUUUUUUUUUUUUGGUCAAAUUUGUGAUAUUUUCAGCCAUUUUUCCUUUGUAUAGGUUUUUAUCUCCUUUCUCUUUCUCUCAUCUUUCUGGGACUCUCAUUAUACAUAUGUUGGUACACUUAAUGGUGUCCCACAUUUCUCUGAUGCCAUUUAUUUUUCCUCAUUCUUUUCAUCUCUGUGCUUCAAAUUGCAUAAUCUCAAUUUAUCUUCAAAUUCACUGAUUCUUUUUCCAACUCAAAUCUACUGUUGAGUUCCUCUUUUGAAUUUUUCAUUUUACUUACUGUGUUUUUCAACUCUAGAAUUUCCAUUUCUUUUUAAAAUAAUUUCUAUCUUUAUCAAUAUUUUCUAUUUGAUAAAACUGUCAUAAUACAUUUACUUAAUUCUUUAAAUAUUGUUUCCUUUAGUUCUUGGGACAUAUUUAUAAUAGCUGCUUUGUGAUUCUUUGAACUUUCCUGCUAAGUCCAUUCUCUGGGCUCCCUCAAAAACAGUUUCUAUUGUUGGCUUUUUCCCUUUACAUGGGUCACUCUUUCCUGUUUCUUUGCACAUCUGACAAUUUUUUUUUUGAAAACAGAACAUGUUAGAUAAUACAUUGCAGCAACUUUGGAUAUUGAUUCUCCCUUACCACCUUUGGGAUCUGUUGUUGUUUCCUCAUUUUCUUGUUUGUUUAGUGACAUAAUUGGACUAGUUCAGUUAAGUCUGUUUCCUUCAAAGUGUGCAACAUCUAACAGCAUGCCUCAGACAGCACAGACUUGGGCAUGUACACAGUCUUUUUAACUGCCAGAGAUAACUGUGGUUUUCUCUUUGACUGUCUCUUUCUCAUUGAGACUUUGGGUGGUCUACCUCUGUUGGUAUUACAUACAACCAUUGGCCUCCAGCAAUCUUUAUCUGAUUGUUCUACUUUUUUCAGCAACUCCCUGGGGCAUAAUAUGCUUCACAGUCUAAUCCAAUUAAAGUUCCUUGAAAGGGGCAGAGUGUUUACAGUCUUUGAAGCUUGCUCCAAAUCUGCCCUGGAAGAAUGUCUGUCCUAUAGAUCAGGAGCUGGGGGAAAUUAGAAAACUCAUUCUUUCCCAGGCACUGCACUAGAGUUCUUCUUAUGGUGUAGGAGCUGUGAGAAGAGAAAAGGGGGAAGUAGGAACUGGCACUGCCACCCAGCUGCGCCCACCACCAAGUACACAUAUUCCACAGCGCAGAGCUGGGGAGAAUAAUAACUGCCAAUAUUCAUAGCUGUCAACCUACCCAUAAUAGUUCUUCCAUUCUAGGAAGCUGGGGAAGAUGGGAGAUGCCACUUGGCUGCUGAGCCAACUGGAAUAGUUCUCGUGCAACAUAGAGCCAUGAAAAAGGGGGGACUGACUUCUUACCAGCUGCCCCACUUAGAUCCUCCCCAUAUAAUCGGAGUUGGGGGUGAAGGAACAGACACUGAUGCAUGUUUGCUGGCACCGAUUCAAUAUUCGACUUCCACAGCAUGGAUCUUUGAAAAAUACUGUCAUGUAAUUUUCACUGGCUGCCAAAUCCACCCCAAAUAACUUUUUUACCCCAGGGAGCUGGAGAAGAUGGGAAUUGCCACUUGUGGGAUGAGCCCACAGAAAACAUCCUCCCGCAAGGUAGAGCUGUUGCAGCCCCUAGUUCUAAUGCAAUGUCCUCCCACUGUUCCUAUCAAGUCUCCAUAUUUUUGCUGAAUAAAUGCUUCUCGGUUUGUUGUAAUCCCUUUGAUCACUCUCCAGAGACUUUGAAUGGUUUUCUUUGCUAAUUUUGACCAGCUUGGUGGAUACCUCUUCAGGAGAGAGGUUUCCCCAAACUCCUCCACCACUGCUCCAGAAAUCCCCAGAAGUUCUUGACAUUUCGUGAGGGCAAAACUUAGAGCACAAGGCAUCAGUGGCUUCCUUCUCUUACCAGUUGUAUAACCUUGAGCAAGUCUUUUAACCUCUGUGAACAGUUUCUCAUCUGUAACAUAAGGAUAAUCAUAGUGCCCACAAUUGUUGGGAGGAUUUGUUGAGUUAAUCCUUGUUAUGCACCUAGUCUAGUGCCAAGUUAUCAUUAUUACUAUUGUCAUUAUUUUUAAUAAUCCACGAGUUUAUAACUUCAGAGUGUUGGAAUCAUAACCAGUUCACACAAUACUUUUGUACAAGUUAUAAAAGGCAUUUUUCCUCAGGACAAUUUAUUAUUUGUCUUUCAAAGUAAUUAUAAUAAUAUAAUGAUUUUGUUAGAAUAAGACAA
This 3462-nucleotide long non-coding RNA is filed under the name Homo sapiens (human). RNAcentral's name for it is "HSALNT0020744". The record is from RNAcentral. Lineage: Eukaryota; Metazoa; Chordata; Mammalia; Primates; Hominidae.